Molecule: transfer RNA, 76 nt
Filed under: Paludibacteraceae bacterium
Lineage: Bacteria; Pseudomonadati; Bacteroidota; Bacteroidia; Bacteroidales; Paludibacteraceae
Description: tRNA-Trp
Rfam family: tRNA
About the family: Transfer RNA (tRNA) molecules are approximately 80 nucleotides in length. Their secondary structure includes four short double-helical elements and three loops (D, anti-codon, and T loops).
Source: RNAcentral
ACGGAAUUAGCUCAAUUGGUAGAGCGUUGGUCUCCAAAACCAAAGGUCGGGGGUUCGAGCCCCUCAUUCCGUGCCA